UGUGGGAGGGGCAGGGGCGCUGGGCCGGGGCGCCGGUCUGUGAGGGGAGCAGCCGGUGUCGCUUCAGCACGCGGUCCGGUCCCUUUCCUUCUCCUUCCUUUCCCCCCCCCCGCCCCGCUAACUUUGUUUCCCUGAAGCAAAGGGCUGAGUGUAUCGAUGGGCUCUUCGUGAAGGUUUCUGUGUAGGCAUCUCGCUGCUACUUGGGAGAGCUCUCCAAAAGCACGCCUUUUGGAAGAGCGAGGUUUUUUGUUUUCUUUAUGUAUUUGGUUUAUGUCGAGCUGUCUUGGGCAGGAUAUUGCCACGAAGCCAGCACUGCAUAGUCUUACGUGCACCGUGCUCCUCGAUAGAAGGACCACCUAUGUUAAAGGAAUACUUUUUCAGUGAUGUGGAACGGUUAGUGGGACUGUCCUACAGAGUCACCUGUGCCAGACCUUCUGAAGCAUUGAUGGGCUCCUGCAGAAUGCCUGGUUGCUGUAGCAGGCCACUGGAACACGUGUAACAGAGUAGCCCUUAGGCUUAAAGUGUGCCAAUAGGGAUGAUUGGGGCAUUUCAUUUUGGAGUGGGGGUGGAUGGCAUGGAGUCUGCUGUCCUUUGAAAUCUGGUAGUUAUUUCAAGCAUUUCUUGUUAGGCUCCUUGAAAGUGCGUUCUCCCUCUUCCUUCAGAUGAAAGCAAUGGAAGUCUGUUGAUGGCCUGCACAAGCACCAACAUGACCACAAGAUGUCCCAAGAGCAUGUGGUGUCCUUCGGCCUUGUGUUAUAAUGAAGCAGACUUUCCAUCAAAAAAGUUCAGCAGAAUGACUGCAGAGCAGAAAUUUUCACUGAAGCAUUGAGAGUGAGAUCAGCCUGAUGACUCUGUUCUCAUCAACAAAAGUGGAAACCCUGAAGUAAAGUAUUUGGUGUGAGUGGCUUGUAAAAAGCAGUGCAUUGCUGCCAGUGUGUCUGAGAGCAGUCUGUGCUCUCCAUUGUUUGGUUUUUGGGGGUGAUACUGUGGAGCAGUUCAGAACACAAGGACUAAAAAUGUUCAAAGACUGGUGAAAUGUGAAAGCUCGGAAUCUUAUAUGCAAAAUGCUGUUUCACUGUAAAUUCCUGGAAAAGCCAGCGCUAUUAAGAAGUUGACUAGUGCAAGUCAGCAUAAAAUUCAGUGGUACAAACAACGCAUUAAUAGAAAUUGCGUUAUCAAGGUUUCUUCAGUGCUGAAACCUGUAUAUGCAAGGGAAUGACAAGUAAUCCAAGUCUUUGAAGCCAGGAACUUCUUGGUUAGUAUUGGAAAUGUGAUGUGAGAGCGAUCCAGUACUGAGAAAUCAUUAUGGUAACUUAAUCUACAUUUCAGGGGAUGUAAACCACACUGAAAACUAUUAGACCGCCUACUCUAAAGUUAUAGAGACUGAAUUGAAGGUGAAAUUCAGAGUGCAAACUCAAGUUUCAAGUCAAACUGAAGAAAUGACUGUCUUGUAAAUCGGAAAGGGUUACAAUAAUAUACGAUACACUAGGGAGUGGUGUUCCUGUUGAAUGCUUUGUGCAGUACUCAGUGAAACUAAAAAAUGCUGGAGGUUUUUUUAGCAGCAGCAGCUGACUUCUGUGACUGUGAAUGGAGUAGUUUCUCUAACAUAGGAAAGUACAGCAGUGGUGAAGGGUAGAUUGAAGGAGUAGAAAAUGAAUAGAAGUUGUCCUGCUCACACAUCUUGUGCAAUUAUGCCUCAUUGAGGCCUCAUUAUGCAGAAGCUAUGUUCCAGGAUACAAAAAGAACUAAAAGUGUCUUGCAUAUUAGUUUGCAUUCUUGGUUUUGUUGUUUCACUGAUGCAUUCAGCUCUCCUAGAGGGUGGUGAGACGCAGUGCUGUGCAGUGGUAUUUCCAGGGGAGAACUAUAAAUACUGUUCAAGAAAACUUGGAAGAGAUAGAAGUUAUGGAGAAGGUUUGGGAAGAAUCAGGAAAUCGAAAAUACUGCAUAAACUACUAAAGAGAGAAAUAGAGAUGGUGUGGUGUUUGGAGUAGCAGCUUUCAAAUUGUUGAUUGCAGCUCUGGGAAAGCAGGGUGAUUAUUUGGCAGCAGCUUACAAAGACAACAUGAGAAGCUCUUAAGCCAAGCUGUGCAGACUGAGCCAAGUCCAAGUUCUGAAGGAAGUUUGUGAUUCAAUAGAUGUCUGUGCUGAAGACAGAUAAUCAGAAAAUUAUUUCCCAGCAGCUAUCAGACUGGUUGAUCUGGAGUUGUUUAAAGAAUAUAUGGGGAAGAAGUAAACUGAAGGUGGUUCAGUAUUUUGCAUGAACAUGCAUGUGUUUAUACAAAAGUGAACUUGAGUGACAGAAGAUCCACUAUACCACUGUUGGUUUCCUUGUGGGAAAGAAUGUAACAGAAAUCUUAAGCAAAGUGAUGAUUUGUUACAAUGCCCUUGAAAAUACUAGAAUAGGGAAGUUUAAUGCACUGAAGUGUGAAAAUCUACCUGAGCAACAUGAAAAACACAAGAUGCUCUUAAUGCUUUACCAGUGCUGUUGAUAGAAAAUAAAGUAGUGAAAUCCCUCCAAGACCUUUAGCACCAUAUGCCCUGGGGGCUUUUGCAAGACUGAAGGUGGGCGCUCUUUUCAUAUGAACGUGUCAGACACUGGGCAGAGAAAUGUGUGUGCAACCCACUCUGAGUAAUGUAUAUAAUAACAGGGCUGCUACUUGUUUUUUCAACAUAACACAAAGAUGAGAUGUAGUAAUUUUAUUGGCUUACUAUUCUCUCAAGCUGUUUUAUAAUGCAUAGACAUAUGUGUGCAUGAGUUACUGCUACAAAACUUUCUACUGAUCCCCACGAGCUAGAAAGUGUUAGUACUGCCACCAACUUGUAGUUAGGAUCUGAAAUCUUGCUCAGAUGGGCUAAGAGCCACUCCUGCAUAUAGGCUCCCUAAAAAUUACAUUUGCAGAUUUUAGCUUUUUUUUUUUUAUCAAAGGGAUGAGGGGGGAGCUGAUCCUUGCAACUUUGUACCAGUCUUGGGGAUCUAGAGGAUGUUCCUGAAAACAGCUGCGUCCUACAUGUGUCCAAUCCCACAUUGUGUUUACCUUUUUCGCUAGGAAGAAUUGUUAGAACCAGCCUGAGACCAGUGACAGUCUAUGCAACACUACCCCAUAAGAAACAAAAAACUGUUAAAAAGACAGAAUAUUAAGCCUGCAUGUAGUAACACAAGGUACUUCCAACUAUAUUGGGGCAGUGUCUGGUAAUGUUUAUGUGGACAAAAAAUAAAGAUCUAUGUUUCCAUUCUCA
Molecule: non-coding RNA, 3237 nt
Organism: Phalacrocorax carbo (great cormorant)
Lineage: Eukaryota; Metazoa; Chordata; Aves; Suliformes; Phalacrocoracidae
Source: RefSeq, a predicted model, not a curated record